UAAAAGGGGGCUGCGUUGCUCGGAUUCUGGGCGUAAAGGGAGCGUAGGCGGACAUUUAAGUAGGGGUGAAAUCCCAGAGCUCAACUCUGGAACUGCCUUUGAUACUGGAUGUCUUGAGUGUGAGAGAGGUAUGUGGAACUCCGAGUGUAGAGGUGAAAUUCGUAGAUAUUCGGAAGAACACCAGUGGCGAAGGCGACAUACUGGCUCAUUACUGACGCUGAGGCUCGAAAGCGUGGGGAGCAAACAGGAUUAGAUACCCUGGUAGUCCACGCCGUAAACGAUGAUUGCUAGUUGUCGGGAUGUUUACAUCUCGGUGACGCAGCUAACGCAUUAAGCAAUCCGCCUGGGGAGUACGGUCGCAAGAUUAAAA
This 370-nucleotide ribosomal RNA is filed under the name uncultured Alphaproteobacteria bacterium. RNAcentral describes it as "bacterial SSU rRNA". It matches the Rfam family "Bacterial small subunit ribosomal RNA", at positions 521 to 899 of the family's 1533-position model. The record is from RNAcentral. Lineage: Bacteria; Pseudomonadati; Pseudomonadota; Alphaproteobacteria.